RNAcentral lists this long non-coding RNA (1011 nucleotides) under Malus domestica (apple). RNAcentral's name for it is "long non-coding RNA (MDOM_LNC005268)". The record is from RNAcentral. Lineage: Eukaryota; Viridiplantae; Streptophyta; Magnoliopsida; Rosales; Rosaceae.
UUAAUGUGUUUUUUAUUCAAUGUCUCCCAUUAAAUAUUUAAAUUUAUUAAUAUACACAUUUUAAUUUAUUUUUUGACCUUUUUUUUUUUUGAAUUUAUUAGUUUUAAUUAGCAUUCUUCAAUCUUGAAAGACUCAAUUAAGGUACCUAAAUGUUAGUAUCGAAAUGUAUUAUAUUGAAUUAAUGUACCAAAAUUUAGUAGCGAAAUGUAUAUGCAACGAAAUGUAAUAUAUUGAAUUAAUGUACCUAAAUGUGUGUAACAAAAUGUAUGCACCAAAAUGUAUUAUAAGUACCUAAAUGUUUGUAUUAAAAUGUAUGUACCAAAAUGUGUAUACCUAAAUGUAUGCACCGAAAUGCAUUAUUAUGAAUUUAAUGUACCAAUAUGAAGAAAACAAAGUACAUCGAAAUAUAUUGUAUAACAAAAAUUAGUUUAUCUAAUGUUUACAACGAAAUAUAUUACGAUGAAUGAAAUAAAAAUUAGAACUAUAAUGAAUUAGGAAGAAAAAGAGAAAUAAUUAAGGCAUCAAAAUAUAAUUAAUAAAUGGGGUGAUUAAUGUGUCAAGGGACUAAAAUAAGAUUUUGAUCUUACUCAUGAUUUUAGUCUAAAAGUCAUCUUUGCUUAGGAUUAAAAUGAAGUUUCCUAAUUUUUAUAUGAAGAGAAAAAAAAACAAAAUGGAAAGUGUAAGAGGAGAGGAAAGAGAAUCCUACUCCCAUUAGAGCACUUCCAGUGUGUAAGGGCUCCUUUUGGCAAUAGGCAAUUCAAUCCCCUCAAGUGAUAGUAAUUACUUUUAGUGAACAGUAAUUGUCUAUUGCAUCUCCAUCCCUAUAUUGAAUAGCCUAGACAAUUCGUAUUAAAAUAUUAGUAUUUUUAUUUUAUAAAAUAAUAAAAAAUAAUUUUAUUUUUAAUUUCGGAUAGGAUUUUUAACCUAUCUCAUCACGCCACGUGUCAUUAUCUGAAAGUACAAUUUUUGUGGAUAGAUUACGAUAAGAUUUUUAAUCAAUUCUGUCGCGCG